This 253-nucleotide ribosomal RNA is filed under the name uncultured bacterium. RNAcentral's name for it is "partial 16S ribosomal RNA". It matches the Rfam family "Archaeal small subunit ribosomal RNA", at positions 474 to 727 of the family's 1478-position model. The record is from RNAcentral.
UACCAGCACCCCGAGUGGUCGGGACGUUUAUUGGGCCUAAAGCAUCCGUAGCCGGUUCUACAAGUCUUCCGUUAAAUCCACCUGCUUAACAGAUGGGCUGCGGAAGAUACUAUAGAGCUAGGAGGCGGGAGAGGCAAGCGGUACUCGAUGGGUAGAGGUAAAAUCCGUUGAUCCAUUGAAGACCACCAGUGGCGAAGGCGGCUUGCCAGAACGCGCUCGACGGUGAGGGAUGAAAGCUGGGGGAGCAAACCGG